Vespa velutina is the source of this 411-nucleotide long non-coding RNA. RefSeq lists it as uncharacterized. The record is from RefSeq and is a predicted model, not a curated record. The transcript is spliced from 3 exons. Lineage: Eukaryota; Metazoa; Arthropoda; Insecta; Hymenoptera; Vespidae.
GAGAGAGAGCGAGUUACAACGCAUAGGUUGUUCUAGUUAGCGUUUAAUCUAAUUAGUCGAGGGCUCGCGCUCAUUGGAGGAUCCGUACUUUCGGUAUUGUUAUGGUCUCUCUCUUGUAGAAUGGAACACCUGCGGUCCGUUCUAGCCGUCCCGAUUCUAAUUCAGACUCAAGUUCGGUUUGCAUUCUACACCGAGUGGCUCUAACUUCGAUUCGAGUCUCUACGUGGAAUAAUUCGAGUAUGCCGAAACGAGGGGUGCCACCCGGUAACGGCGUAUUCAUCGUCCGUGGUUCGGGACAAAUUGUUUCUCCGGAGUCGCUCGUUUCGUUUACAUCGACCGCAAGAAAGAAAAACGGAUAUCGAGUCUACGAGUGCUACGUUCAAGGCUUUCCUUCCAGUAUAAAUCCGAUCG